This 468-nucleotide ribosomal RNA is filed under the name uncultured bacterium. RNAcentral's name for it is "partial 16S ribosomal RNA". It matches the Rfam family "Bacterial small subunit ribosomal RNA", at positions 28 to 507 of the family's 1533-position model. The record is from RNAcentral.
GACGAACGCUGGCGGCGUGCUUAACACAUGCAAGUCGAACGGUGAAGCUCCAGCUUGCUGGAGUGGAUCAGUGGCGAACGGGUGAGUAACACGUGAGCAACCUGCCCCUUACUCUGGAAUAAGCGCUGGAAACGGCGUCUAAUACUGGAUACGAGAAGGGCCCGCAUUGGCACUUUCUGUAAAUUUUUUCGGUUGGGGAUGGGCUCGCGGCCUAUCAGCUUGUUGGUGAGGUAAUGGCUCACCAAGGCGACGACGGGUAGCCGGCCUGAGAGGGCGACCGGCCACACUGGGACUGAGACACGGCCCAGAAUCCUACGGGAGGCAGCAGUGGGGAAUAUUGCACAAUGGGAGAAAGCCUGAUGAAGAGACGCAGCGUGAGGGAUGACGGCCUUCGGGUUGUAAACCUAUUUCAGAAGGGAAGAAGAGAAAGUGACGGUACCUGCAGAAGAAGCACCGGCUAACUACGUG